This 797-nucleotide ribosomal RNA is filed under the name uncultured bacterium. Its description in RNAcentral is "bacterial SSU rRNA". It matches the Rfam family "Bacterial small subunit ribosomal RNA", at positions 8 to 796 of the family's 1533-position model. The record is from RNAcentral.
AGAGUUUGAUCCUGGCUCAGGAUGAACGCUAGCGGCAGGCUUAAUACAUGCAAGUCGUGGGGCAGCAGGACUGUAGCAAUACAGUUGCUGGCGACCGGCAAACGGGUGCGGAACACGUACACAACCUUCCUUCGAGUGGGGAAUAGCCCGGGGAAACCCGGAUUAAUACCCCGUAACAUAAUGGAGUGGCAUCACUUUAUUAUUAAAGCUACGGCGCUUGAAGAUGGGUGUGCGGCUGAUUAGGUAGUUGGCGGGGUAAUGGCCCACCAAGCCUACGAUCAGUAACUGGUGUGAGAGCACGACCAGUCACACGGGCACUGAGACACGGGCCCGACUCCUACGGGAGGCAGCAGUAAGGAAUAUUGGUCAAUGGACGCAAGUCUGAACCAGCCAUGCCGCGUGGAGGAUGAAGGUCCUCUGGAUUGUAAACUUCUUUUAUCUGGGAAGAAACCCAUGGAUUCUUCUGUGGUUGACGGUACCAGAUGAAUAAGCACCGGCUAACUCCGUGCCAGCAGCCGCGGUAAUACGGAGGGUGCAAGCGUUAUCCGGAUUCACUGGGUUUAAAGGGUGCGUAGGCGGACAGGUAAGUCAGUGGUGAAAUCUCUGGGCUUAACCCAGAAACUGCCGUUGAUACUAUCUGUCUUGAAUAUCAUGGAGGUAAGCGGAAUAUGUCAUGUAGCGGUGAAAUGCUUAGAUAUGACAUAGAACACCGAUAGCGAAGGCAGCUUACUACAUGGAGAUUGACGCUGAGGCACGAAAGCGUGGGGAGCAAACAGGAUUAGAUACCCUAGUAGUCC